AUUGAACGCUGGCGGCAUGCCUUACACAUGCAAGUCGAACGGUAACGGGCCUUCGGGUGCCGACGAGUGGCGAACGGGUGAGUAAUACAUCGGAACGUGCACGAUCGUGGGGGAUAACGAGGCGAAAGCUUUGCUAAUACCGCAUACGAUCUACGUAUGAAAGCAGGGGACCGCAAGGCCUUGCGCGGACGGAGCGGCUGAUGGCAGAUUAGGUAGUUGGUGGGAUAAAAGCUUACCAAGCCGACGAUCUGUAGCUGGUCUGAGAGGAUGAUCAGCCACACUGGGACUGAGACACGGCCCAGACUCCUACGGGAGGCAGCAGUGGGGAAUUUUGGACAAUGGGCGCAAGCCUGAUCCAGCCAUGCCGCGUGCAGGAUGAAGGCCUUCGGGUUGUAAACUGCUUUUGUACGGAACGAAAAGCCUUCUUUUAAUACAGGAGGGUCAUGACGGUACCGUAAGAAUAAGCACCGGCUAACUACGUG
This 482-nucleotide ribosomal RNA is filed under the name uncultured bacterium. Its description in RNAcentral is "partial 16S ribosomal RNA". It matches the Rfam family "Bacterial small subunit ribosomal RNA", at positions 30 to 507 of the family's 1533-position model. The record is from RNAcentral.